GUGCCGGAUUCGAAUACCAAAAACAGUGUUUUGAUCCGGAUUAGUAGCUUUUAAUUAUACCCCACGUGGAAUAUUGGCCGAAGGCAAAUUUGUUACCUAAUUGAAUAUCGAUCGAUCGUAGCCUUUAAAUACUGUGCCCGCCAGCAACAAUAGCACCAACAGAGAGUUGCAUCGGU
Long non-coding RNA from Culex quinquefasciatus (southern house mosquito), 176 nucleotides. RefSeq lists it as uncharacterized. The transcript has 3 exons. Lineage: Eukaryota; Metazoa; Arthropoda; Insecta; Diptera; Culicidae. The record is from RefSeq and is a predicted model, not a curated record.